RNAcentral lists this ribosomal RNA (301 nucleotides) under uncultured bacterium. Its description in RNAcentral is "partial 16S ribosomal RNA". It matches the Rfam family "Bacterial small subunit ribosomal RNA", at positions 509 to 808 of the family's 1533-position model. The record is from RNAcentral.
CAGCCGCCGCGGUAAUACGAAGGGUGCAAGCGUUAAUCGGAAUUACUGGGCGUAAAGCGUGCGUAGGCGGUUUGUUAAGUCUGUUGUGAAAUCCCCGGGCUCAACCUGGGAAUGGCAAUGGAUACUGGCAAGCUAGAGUGUGUCAGAGGAUGGUGGAAUUCCCGGUGUAGCGGUGAAAUGCGUAGAGAUCGGGAGGAACAUCAGUGGCGAAGGCGGCCAUCUGGGACAAACUGACGCUGAGGCACGAAAGCGUGGGGAGCAAACAGGAUUAGAUACCCCUGUAGUCCCUGUCUCUUAUACA